Molecule: non-coding RNA, 624 nt
Organism: Schizosaccharomyces pombe (fission yeast)
Lineage: Eukaryota; Fungi; Ascomycota; Schizosaccharomycetes; Schizosaccharomycetales; Schizosaccharomycetaceae
Source: the annotation of a GenBank genome assembly
UAAGCAAGAAGAGACACCUAGCAUGAACAUAAAUGUCAUUGUCUAGAUAGUCUUUUGGAGAGCCCUCAUUUAGAUUACAAAAAAGACACGCAUACAGCGACGCGUAAACAUAAUGUUUGCAUAAUGUAGAUUCGUCAGAUUGAGAUAUAAGUUUUUCAGCGAAACUAAGACCUAAUGAUGAUAUUUCUUUAGCAGUGGAGCUUAACGUUAUAACUUUCUCGUUGACUGUUUGCUUUUCUAAACGUCGACAUAUGAGAUUUUGCCAAUUAUUGAUAAAACUCAAAGUUACCAAAACUGGAGAGCCUGAUAGCUUUUGUAAGUCUACAUAUCCCUCGAGUUGAAUUGAAUCUAUAAUGGCUUCCCGCACAGUUUCCGAGAUAAACUUGGCUGGUUGAGCAACACGACUCAAGCAUGUUGUUAUUACAAAAUCCAAUGUAGACCAUGAUGAUGCAACAAAAGAGAAUAGAUACUCCAUAUGAAACAAAGUCAAAAUAAUAUACUCACAUAAAGAUCGGUCUGCAGCCAAUACAUUGCUUUUACGGUACUGAGAUUUUGCCAAUGAUUCUAAAACCAUAAUUAUUGAGAAAAAAUUUUUUUUAACAAACUGAUGGUCAUUAUAUUUAG